GCCUAGGAGAUACACCUGUUCUCAUGCCGAACACAGAAGUUAAGCCCUAGAACGCCGGAAGUAGUUGGGGGUUGCCCCCUGUGAGAUAAGGU
Molecule: ribosomal RNA, 92 nt
Filed under: Streptococcus agalactiae CCUG 49072
Lineage: Bacteria; Bacillati; Bacillota; Bacilli; Lactobacillales; Streptococcaceae
Also listed under: 3 other names
Source: RNAcentral